GGGAAAGUGGCUCAGUGGUAGAGUGCUUGUCUUGCAUGCAUGAGGUCCUGAGUUCGAUUCCUCAGUACCA
RNAcentral lists this transfer RNA (70 nucleotides) under Dipodomys ordii (Ord's kangaroo rat). It matches the Rfam family "tRNA". From Rfam's summary of the family: Transfer RNA (tRNA) molecules are approximately 80 nucleotides in length. Lineage: Eukaryota; Metazoa; Chordata; Mammalia; Rodentia; Heteromyidae. The record is from Rfam by way of RNAcentral.